UACAGAGGGGGCAAGCGUUAUUCGGAAUUAUUGGGCGUAAAGGGCGCGUAGGCGGCUUGGCAAGUGGAUGGUGAAAUCCCUCGGCUUAACCGAGGAACUGCCGUCCAAACUGCUUCGCUUGAGACCGGGAGAGGUGAGUGGAAUUCCCCGUGUAGCGGUGAAAUGCGUAGAUAUUGGGAGGAACACCAGUUGCGAAGGCGGCUCACUGGACCGGUACUGACGCUGAUGCGCGCAAGCGCUGGGAGCAAACGGG
RNAcentral lists this ribosomal RNA (253 nucleotides) under uncultured bacterium. Its description in RNAcentral is "partial 16S ribosomal RNA". It matches the Rfam family "Bacterial small subunit ribosomal RNA", at positions 524 to 776 of the family's 1533-position model. The record is from RNAcentral.